This 71-nucleotide transfer RNA is filed under the name Methanobacteriota archaeon. RNAcentral's name for it is "Euryarchaeota archaeon tRNA-Arg". It matches the Rfam family "tRNA". Rfam says of the family: Transfer RNA (tRNA) molecules are approximately 80 nucleotides in length. Their secondary structure includes four short double-helical elements and three loops (D, anti-codon, and T loops). Lineage: Archaea; Methanobacteriati; Methanobacteriota. The record is from RNAcentral.
GCGCCUGUAAUGUAGUGGAAACAUGUAGGCCUCCGGAGCCUAAUUCCUGGGUUCGAAUCCCAGCAGGCGCG